CCGAGGAAAAGAAAGUAACAACGAUACCCUAAGUAGCGGCGAGCGAUCGGGGUAGAGCCUUAACCGUAUUCAUGUCAAGGAUGCAGCCGUUGUGGAUACGGGGUAGCGGGAAAGAGAGAGAAAGAACAGCAAGCUAUUUCGCAGACGUAAGCAAAGGAACAAGAAAGAUCUGGAAAGGUCUACCGUAGAAGGUGAAAGUCCUGUAUUGGUAGUUUUCUUGCGCUGU
RNAcentral lists this ribosomal RNA (226 nucleotides) under Fusobacterium necrophorum. Its description in RNAcentral is "partial 23S ribosomal RNA". It matches the Rfam family "Bacterial large subunit ribosomal RNA", at positions 211 to 400 of the family's 2925-position model. The record is from RNAcentral. Lineage: Bacteria; Fusobacteriati; Fusobacteriota; Fusobacteriia; Fusobacteriales; Fusobacteriaceae.